This 253-nucleotide ribosomal RNA is filed under the name uncultured bacterium. RNAcentral describes it as "partial 16S ribosomal RNA". It matches the Rfam family "Bacterial small subunit ribosomal RNA", at positions 524 to 776 of the family's 1533-position model. The record is from RNAcentral.
UACAGAGGUCUCAAGCGUUGUUCGGAUUCAUUGGGCGUAAAGGGUGCGUAGGCGGCGCGGUAAGUCGGGUGUGAAAUCUCGGAGCUUAACUCCGAAACUGCAUUCGAUACUGCCGUGCUUGAGGACUGGAGAGGAGACUGGAAUUUACGGUGUAGCGGUGAAAUGCGUAGAUAUCGUAAGGAAGACCAGUGGCGAAGGCGGGUCUCUGGACAGUUCCUGACGCUGAGGCACGAAGGUCAGGGGAGCAAACGUG